This is a small nuclear RNA of Manis javanica (Malayan pangolin), 164 nucleotides long. RefSeq annotates it as U1 spliceosomal RNA. The record is from RefSeq and is a predicted model, not a curated record. NCBI's taxonomy places the organism in Eukaryota, Metazoa, Chordata, Mammalia, Pholidota, Manidae.
AUACUUAAUCUGGCCAUGGAGAUAACAUGAUCACGGAGGUGGUUUCCCAGGGCGAGGCUCAUCCGUUGCACUCCGGAUGUGCUGACCCCUGGGAUUUCUCCAAAUGUGGGAGACUCAACUGCAUAAUUUGUGGUAGUGGAGGACUGCGUUCACACUUUCCCCUA